GCCUGGGUGGCUCAGUCGGUUAAGCAUCCUGACUUCAGCUCAGGUCAUGAUCUCACUGUUCGUGGGUUCAAGCCCCUCAUCAGGCU
Molecule: transfer RNA, 86 nt
Organism: Felis catus (domestic cat)
Lineage: Eukaryota; Metazoa; Chordata; Mammalia; Carnivora; Felidae
Rfam family: tRNA
About the family: Transfer RNA (tRNA) molecules are approximately 80 nucleotides in length. Their secondary structure includes four short double-helical elements and three loops (D, anti-codon, and T loops).
Source: Rfam